RNAcentral lists this ribosomal RNA (677 nucleotides) under uncultured Gammaproteobacteria bacterium. Its description in RNAcentral is "bacterial SSU rRNA". It matches the Rfam family "Bacterial small subunit ribosomal RNA", at positions 28 to 696 of the family's 1533-position model. The record is from RNAcentral. Lineage: Bacteria; Pseudomonadati; Pseudomonadota; Gammaproteobacteria.
AUUGAACGCUGGCGGCAGGCCUAACACAUGCAAGUCGGACGGCAGCACGGGCUUCGGCCUGGUGGCGAGUGGCGGACGGGUGAGUAGCGCUUGGGAAUCUGCCUGGCAUUGGGGGAUAACUCGGGGAAACUCGAGCUAAUACCGCAUACGCCCUGAGGGGGAAAGCAGGGGACCUGCUUGCAGGCCUUGCGAUGCUGGAUGAGCCCAAGCCGGAUUAGCUGGUUGGUGGGGUAAAGGCCUACCAAGGCGACGAUCCGUAGCUGGUCUGAGAGGAUGAUCAGCCACACUGGGACUGAGACACGGCCCANACUCCUACGGGAGGCAGCAGUGGGGAAUAUUGGACAAUGGGGGCAACCCUGAUCCAGCCAUGCCGCGUGUGUGAAGAAGGUCUUAGGAUUGUAAAGCACUUUAAGUCAGGAGGAAGUGCCGCUGGCGAAUACUUGGCGACAUUGACGUUACUGACAGAAUAAGCACCGGCUAACUUCGUGCCAGCAGCCGCGGUAAUACGAAGGGUGCGAGCGUUAAUCGGAAUUACUGGGCGUAAAGCGCGCGCAGGCGGUUCGAUAAGAAGGAUGUGAAAUCCCCGGGCUCAACCUGGGCACUGCAUUUUUAACUGUCGGGCUAGAGUACGGUAGAGGGUGGUGGAAUUUCCCGUGUAGCGGUGAAAUGCGUAGAUA